RNAcentral lists this non-coding RNA (24 nucleotides) under Arabidopsis thaliana (thale cress). The record is from RNAcentral. Lineage: Eukaryota; Viridiplantae; Streptophyta; Magnoliopsida; Brassicales; Brassicaceae.
AGUAUUGAGUCUGUUGAUGGUUUU